GGGGCUGACCGGUUUUGACAGUAGGUGUGAAGAUCGGGCUCGCAUGCAGGCUGAAGUAUGUACGGCCUUAAAAGAUUCAUGCAAAGAUAACUGGCGAAACUUCUUACGCCAUGGCUGCCUAAUCUAACCCUAAGGGGAUAGAUAUCGCUUAAAGGGUUGAGUUGCAAGAGUGACUCCCCAGCCACACUCCGCCAUUUGUUGCAUUGUCCGGAUGGAUUUGGGGUGUCGAUAAGACAAUGAUGCUUCCCGUGAGGCUACUAAACGGGAUUAAGACCAGUGGCUAAGCUGUUGUCCGGUGUGUCACCCAGCAAACAACAGUCGAAAACCCAACAGGUGACUAAGCAUGUAGACGGUACGGUGUUUCCCUAUCUGGACGCGGGUUCGAAUCCCGCCAGCUCCACAA
This 403-nucleotide transfer-messenger RNA is filed under the name Cecembia rubra. RNAcentral's name for it is "Standard tmRNA". It matches the Rfam family "transfer-messenger RNA". Rfam says of the family: Bacterial tmRNA, also known as 10Sa RNA or SsrA, is named for its dual tRNA and mRNA-like properties. Its role is to liberate the mRNA from a stalled ribosome. Lineage: Bacteria; Pseudomonadati; Bacteroidota; Cytophagia; Cytophagales; Cyclobacteriaceae. The record is from RNAcentral.